Molecule: non-coding RNA, 2789 nt
Organism: Solanum lycopersicum (tomato)
Lineage: Eukaryota; Viridiplantae; Streptophyta; Magnoliopsida; Solanales; Solanaceae
Source: RefSeq, a predicted model, not a curated record
UCCCCCAAUUUACGCGCAGUAAAUAAAAAAAUAAAAUAGAAAAAUGUUGGAGCUAUUUUUGUUCUCCAGUGAAUGAACGAAAAAAGAAAAAGAAAAACGUAUUCCUUGCUUCUCUGUCUAUGAAGAUAGUCAUCACGGAAACCUGUGCAGUUAUAAAUAUGGAUUCAAGGUUCUGAGCUCAGGUCCGUGUGAUUGCUCUGCUUCUAUUUCCAAAGCUUAUGAAGGAAUUUGAGAGAAAUUAGCAAAAAAAAUGAAAGAUUCCGGGGAAGAGCCUAAUGAUGAAUCAUCAAAUUCCCAAAGAGGAUCAAAAAGGCAUAACAGACAUAGCAUGGAACAAAUCCAAAUACUUGAAGCAUUCUUUGAGAACUGUCCGCUUCUAAAUGAAAAUCAACAAAAUCAAUUGGCUAGGGAAGCAAAGCUUGAGCCAAAGCAGGUCACUAUGUGGUUUCAAAACAAAAGGACACAAAUAAAGUGUGAAAGAGUAUCAAAACACAUCUCAAGUGUUCCUGAAAGGCCUUCUGUGACAGUUUCAAAUUUGGCGCCAUCAAAAUCAAAUCUUGUAUAUCCUCCUUCUUUUGGUCAAGAGUAUAAUACUAAUAAUAAUGUUCAAGCACAUUCAGUAAAUACUAAUAAUAUUUCAAUAAUGUCUCCAUCACGACAAGAACAUUACGAACUUCAUGAUAGGCAAAAAACAAAAAUGUUUGAGAUUGUUGUGGCUUCUAUGAAUGAAAUGGUUGAACUUUGGAAAAUAAAUGAUCCAAUUUGGGUAGAUUCAUCAAGUGAAGGGAGGUGUUCUAUUCAUCGUGAGAGUUAUGAAAGAAUAUUUCCAAAUCCAAAUCGACCUUAUUACCAAUCAUCGGCUAAUCGAAUUGAAUCAUCAAAGGAUUGUGAAGUUGUGUCGAUGACUGCAAGUGAGUUGAUCCAUAAUUUUCUUGAUCCAGUCAAAUGGAUGGAGUUGUUUCCUACUAUAGUCACAAAAGCUAGGACUGUUGAAGUUCUUGAUUCGGGGACUUGGGGAGGUUCUAUACAAUUAAUGUAUGAAAAGUUGCAUAUUUUAUCUCCUCUAGUGGAAGCUCGAGAUUUUUUCUUCAUACGUAGUUGUAGACAAUUUGAUCCAAGAACAUGGAUUAUGAUGGAUGUUUCUUAUGAUCCAUUCAAUGAGAUUCAAAGUGGUGUACAUUCUUAUUCUUGGAAGUUUCCUUCUGGUUGUGCUAUUCAAGAUAUAGGUAAUGGCCAAAGUAAGGUUACUUGGGUGGAACAUGUUCAAGUAUAUGAAAAAAAGCAAGUACAUCGUAUCUUUAGAGACUUGUUGUGUGAUCGUCAAACAUACGGAGCUAAAAGAUGGAUUGUUACACUUCAAAGGAUGUCUGAGAGAUAUAAUUUUGCCAUGGGUGCAAUAUGCCCUACUAGGCAUGAUUUUAAUGUGGCUAGAGAAGGGAUGAAAAAUACAAUACAAAUAUCUCAAAGGAUGGUGAAGAACUUUUUUGAAAUCCUAAGCAUGACAGACAACUUAGAUUUUCCAACUUCAUCACGGCUCAACCGCGGAGAUAGAAUUUCAAUAAGAAUAAAUGAAGAAAUUAUCCAACCAAAAGGCUUUAUUGCCACUGCUGCUACUUCUUUGUGGCUCCCUCUUUCAUUCCAAGAUGUCUUCAAUUUUUUCAAAGAUGACAAGACAAGAAGUCAGUGGGAUAUUUUGACUGGUGGGAAUAAUGUGAUUGAGUUAGCUCGAGUACUAACAGGAACUCUUCCAGAAAACAGUAUUACAAUCAUUCAGCCUUGUAUGCAAAAGGAAAUGUUAGUGAUCCAAGAGACAAGCAUUGAUAGUAUGGGAGCAUUUUUAGUUUAUGCACCCAUAGAUUUACAAGCAAUCACUUCAAUUGUCAAUGGAGGUGAUGUAAAAAGAGUUCCCAUUUUGCCCUCAGGUAUCACCAUAAGUCCUGAUGGUCGCCUCUCCUCGGAUAGGGACAGUACUGCAAAUGCUGAAAAUGGUUCAAUUUUGACAGUGACUUUUCAAAUAUUGAUCAGGAGAAUCAAGUAGUUGAUGUGCUUGCAAAGAAGGAAACAGAAUUAACAUACCCUGCCUAUAUCUCCAUUAAUCAGAAUUUGCUGCAACUAUAAUUAGGAUAAGUGGCAGCUUCCAAAUCUAAUGAUCAGAUACGAUAAGAUUUGUAUUCAAGCUACGGAGUUCUUGAUGGAGGAAUUUAGCGUAAUUAGUGAAGUUGUUUCCAUUUGGUCAGUAGGUCACGCGUUCACGUCGUGGAAACAAGCUCUUGCACAAAUACAAGGUAAAGCUGCGAACAAUCUUGAAGAAGUUCAUCAAUCGCUGGGAUUUCUCAAAAUCUCUGUGAAUAUAUAUUAACUAAUUGUAAACUGUUUAAGAGGUUUCCAGCUCUGUGCAUCGGUUCCCUUAAAUAUCUGACUCUACAUGUGUGCUCUAGUUUAGAAACUUUUCCUGAAAUACUCGGAAGCAUGGAACUGGAGAUGGAGAUUCACAUGCUAGUUUGAUGAUGAGGGAUCUAAAUUCAUUGCAUUUUUCAUUUCCAUGUUUAUUGUGUCAGAAUUUCUCGUCCAUGAGGCAUGACAUCUCUGCUUCAGAUUUCUUGUCACUGUGAGCAUUUACCAUUAAGCAUGGUGGGAAUGGAUAAAAGUGUAUCAGUGAAUUUGCCUUAAAAUUGGUAUGUACCUGAUAGCUUCUUGGGAUUUGCUGUAUGUUGCUCUGGCAGGUUAAUCUGACAUAUGAUAAAUUUUGUAAAACAGUUUGGUUGUGAAAUGCAAUGAUCAAGCUCUCU